UUUUUUUCUGAGAUGGAGUCUCGCUCUGUCGCCAGACUGAAGCGCAGUGGCACAAUCUCGGCUCAGUGCAACCUCUGCCUCCCGGGUUCAAGCGAUUCUUCUGCCUCAGCCUCCCAAGUAGCUGGGACUACAGGCACACGCCACCACGCCCAGCCAAUUUUUGUAUUUGUAAUAGAGAUGGGGUUUCACCAUGUUGGCCAGGAUGGUCUCAAUCUCUUGACCUCAUGAUCCGCCCACCUCGGCCUCCCAAAGUGCUGGGAUUACAGGCAUGAGCCACCGCGCCUGGCCUUUUUUUUUUUUUUUCUAAAGUAAGACUGGUUUAGUUCAAGAGGUAUAUACUAAGAUCUUUCCAGCAUAGGGCUUCUCUGAUUCUGUGUUUAAUCUCAGUCCAAAUUUUGUGAAGAUCCUCAGCAAAUAAAUGGAUGUGGGAAAUGUGUGAUUGGGAAAGAGGCAGCUUUUAAAAAUGUGUCUGGCCUUUGACCACGCAAUUUCACUUUCCAGUAUUUAUUCUAGGAAAAUACUCAUACUAUUGCAAAGUUUAUAUAUAAAGAUAGUUAUAACUGCAUUGUUUAUCAUUUACAAAAAGAAAACAUCUGAAAGCCCAACAAGACGGAACUGGUUAUUCCACAUUGGCACAUUCCUACAAGGGAAUGUCAUUAGGAAGAAUGAUGAAGAUAAAUAUUUAUUGAUGAGAAAGAUAUUUGAACAUACCAUUUUUUUAAAAAAGAAAUGGAAAAAUCUUACAAACCAUUCAAGGAAAGUAGCUUUGGAUUCAGCCUGAAGGGUUGAGAUCUAGCUUAGUCUCUUAACCAACUUGGGAACUCAGGCAAGUAAUGUGAUCUCCCUGAACUUGUUUCCUGCCUGUAAACGGGGCACAAUAACACCUAUCUUGUGAAGUUGGAAGGAUUAAGAGAGAUUAACACAUCUAAAGGCCUCAGCACAGCCCAGUAGGUGAUGAUUGCUCAGUAGCUGGGUGCUUAGAUGAGACAUGGACUGUGAUAGUAUUUUUACCCGUUUAUAAGCCUGGAAACAUUCUGGAAAUUCAUACACCAGCAGUGGAGUUUUCUGACUGAUAGAAUCAUGGGUGAUUAUUAAUAUUUUCUUAUUUUUCUACAAGGAAUAUCUCCUGCUUAUCUAAGGAUGGUAUAGUUUAAAAAAAAGUGACAAUUUAAAAGGUUAAAAAAAAAACAGUGCAUUUCAGCAGGUAAGUUUGCUAAGUAGUCCCUGCACAGAGCUCUGGAGAACUGAGAGAGAGGUGGGAAAGAAAGGGAAUAGAGAGAACAAUGGGUGAAGGAAAAGAGAAGGGGAGGUCAGACCCCAGGGCUAGUGGCCAAGGAGAUGCACCUCGGCGGUAACGCUAGAGCCCCACCAAGCAUGUGUUUGUCCUCCCAUCCCCUAUGAUUGGCACCUCCCGGGAGAGCUCCAGGUAGGAGAUCUUGUAACCCAAGGCUCAUCUGUCCCAGCUUCUGAUGACAAUAAAUGUGUGUAGCCUCUUUUAGCGGCCG
Molecule: long non-coding RNA, 1505 nt
Filed under: Homo sapiens (human)
Lineage: Eukaryota; Metazoa; Chordata; Mammalia; Primates; Hominidae
Description: HSALNT0094432
Source: RNAcentral